CUGCCUGGGUUAACCAGGAGGAAGGUGGGGAUGACGUCAAAUCAUCAUGCCCCUUAUGUGUAGGGCUACACACGUGCUACAAUGGCUGGUACAGAGAGAUGCAAUACCGUGAGGUGGAGCCAAACUUUAAAACCAGUCUCAGUUCGGAUUGUAGGCUGAAACUCGCCUACAUGAAGCUGGAGUUACUAGUAAUCGCGAAUCAGAAUGUCGCGGUGAAUACGUUCCCGGGUCUUGUAC
Molecule: ribosomal RNA, 237 nt
Filed under: Clostridium perfringens
Lineage: Bacteria; Bacillati; Bacillota; Clostridia; Eubacteriales; Clostridiaceae
Description: partial 16S ribosomal RNA
Rfam family: Bacterial small subunit ribosomal RNA
Source: RNAcentral